GCCGAAAUAGCUCAGUUGGGAGAGCGUUAGACUGAAGAUCUAAAGGUCGCUGGCUCGAUCCCGGGUUUCGGCA
RNAcentral lists this transfer RNA (73 nucleotides) under Schistocerca americana (American grasshopper). RNAcentral describes it as "tRNA-Phe". It matches the Rfam family "tRNA". Rfam says of the family: Transfer RNA (tRNA) molecules are approximately 80 nucleotides in length. Their secondary structure includes four short double-helical elements and three loops (D, anti-codon, and T loops). The record is from RNAcentral. Lineage: Eukaryota; Metazoa; Arthropoda; Insecta; Orthoptera; Acrididae.